AUGGCUCAGGAUGAACGCUGGCGGCGUGCUUAACACAUGCAAGUCGAACGGGAAUUGCUUUUAGCUUGCUAAGUGCAAUUCUAGUGGCGGACGGGUGAGUAACGCGUGAGUAACCUGCCCUUUACCGGGGGAUAACACUUAGAAAUAGGUGCUAAUACCGCAUAAGCGCACGAUAUCGCAUGAUAUUGUGUGAAAAACUCCGGUGGUAAAGGAUGGACUCGCGUCUGAUUAGCCAGUUGGCGGGGUAACGGCCCACCAAAGCGACGAUCAGUAGCCGGCCUGAGAGGGUGAACGGCCACAUUGGGACUGAGACACGGCCCAAACUCCUACGGGAGGCAGCAGUGGGGGAUAUUGCACAAUGGGCGAAAGCCUGAUGCCAGCGACGCCGCGUGAGUGAAGAAGUAUUUCGGUAUGUAAAGCUCUAUCAGCAGGGAAGAAAAUGACGGUACCUGACUAAGAAGCCCCGGCUAACUACGUGCCAGCAGCGGC
Molecule: ribosomal RNA, 489 nt
Filed under: uncultured bacterium
Lineage: Bacteria
Description: bacterial SSU rRNA
Rfam family: Bacterial small subunit ribosomal RNA
Source: RNAcentral